GAUGAACGCUGGCGGCGUGCCUAAUACAUGCAAGUCGAGCGAACAGAUAAGGAGCUUGCUCCUUUGACGUUAGCGGCGGACGGGUGAGUUACACGUGGAUAACCUACCUAUAAGACUGGGAUAACUUCGGGAAACCGGAGCUAAUACCGGAUAACAUAUUGAACCGCAUGGUUCAAUAGUGAAAGACGGCUUUGCUGUCACUUAUAGAUGGAUCCGCGCCGCAUUAGCUAGUUGGUAAGGUAACGGCUUACCAAGGCAACGAUGCGUAGCCGACCUGAGAGGGUGAUCGGCCACACUGGAACUGAGACACGGUCCAGACUCCUACGGGAGGCAGCAGUAGGGAAUCUUCCGCAAUGGGCGAAAGCCUGACGGAGCAACGCCGCGUGAGUGAUGAAGGUCUUCGGAUCGUAAAACUCUGUUAUCAGGGAAGAACAAAUGUGUAAGUAACUGUGCACAUCUUGACGGUACCUGAUCAGAAAGCCACGGCUAACUACGUG
This 497-nucleotide ribosomal RNA is filed under the name uncultured bacterium. RNAcentral's name for it is "partial 16S ribosomal RNA". It matches the Rfam family "Bacterial small subunit ribosomal RNA", at positions 28 to 507 of the family's 1533-position model. The record is from RNAcentral.